This 507-nucleotide long non-coding RNA is filed under the name Pan troglodytes (chimpanzee). RNAcentral describes it as "long non-coding RNA NONPTRT016952". The record is from RNAcentral. Lineage: Eukaryota; Metazoa; Chordata; Mammalia; Primates; Hominidae.
CCGGGCUCCGGGGCUCCGGGGCGUCUGGCCUGGGUGGGACUGAGCCCAUCCAGGGACUGGGACUCCGGGGUUGUGGUGUAGGUGGAUCCGGGGCAGGCUCAGGACCAAGUCCCACUCCUUCCACCAAGGAGCGCCCAGAGGCCGGCGGCAGCUCCAGGUUCACCUCCUCCUCCUCCAGGCCAUUUCCAAUCCAGAGGAAGACCUUCUAAAAGAGGUGAUGGAUGGGAGAGUGCUGACAUACUAUGUGAAGCUACUAUUUGGAGUUGGACACGAGUGCAUGUGACCUUGUGCCACAGCGGCAAUCUUGACUACCACACAAAUGAAUCCAUUCAAAUGUUGGCAAGUGGAGCAGAGUCCCAGGACAGGAGGCGCUCGGAAACCACCGUGAAUUGGACCGCACUGGGAAGCACAGAUGAAGAAAUUCAGCACCGCUUUGUCCUUCAGUGCCUGGCUGCUUUUUCAGCUCGUCUUGCGACUCCAGGCAAAGGGCCUCUGAGGGAGUAUUAC